GGCGGGCAGCCGCCUCGGCGCCGGCGCUGUCAAAGUUUACCGGGGAAGUGUUGAAAUUAGACUUUGAUGUCGACUUCUUGUUAAUAAUUGGACGUGGCAGGGCGGAGAUACCGUAAAUGCUCUCCCAUGGAGCACGCGAUUGAAGUUUAUCAUAGAAUUGAAAGGGUGGUUGGGGUUGGAAGGAACUUGAAGGAUCAUAAAAGCAACCCGUCUGCCGUGGCCAGGGACACCUUCCACUAGAUCAGGUUGCUCAGAGCCCCAUCUAACCGGGCCUUGUUCACUUCCAGGGGUGGGGCAUCCACAUCGUCUUUGGAAAACCUGUGUCAGUGCCUCAGAAACCUCACGGAGGGACAAUUUUACUGCAAAACAUAAAUGACCAAGAUCAUCAAAUCCAGUCCUCUCCAGCUGCAGGCACAUAUAUGAUGGACAGUAAGUUCUUGAAGGUGGAGCGAACAUCUUUUCCCACCAGUCCCAGAGCACAGUUAUAUACAGACAGACAUGAAAAAGUAUCUGCCCUCGUGAGGAAAAGGAACAUAUGGAACGACCUCAACCAUGUUCAUAAAACUGACUCUGAAUUUCAACCUGUGCAUUUUCCUCUAAAUUUGAGUGUUCUUCACACAGAAGAAAAGAGAAUCAUGUCCUGGAGCUAUCCCUCUGAAAAAUCAGAAAAUAUUAGCAAUUGGAGUAAACUGAGCAGUAGUUUCUUAUUCAAUUGUUAAGGUAAAACUGGAACUCCCUUUUGCCUCCCCCCAUCCCCCAAAACCAGCAAAUGCAACCAGGAAACCUAAAUACAUUCAAUAUGGAUAUUCUCUGCUGGAGUCAGGGGAACACCAACUGGGCUAUUAAAACUAUUGAUGAAGAAACAAUGCCAGGGCCCCAGACAGGAGGUCACCUUUUCUGGGGACCAAAUGGAUUGUGGGCAGGAAGUAAGCCCCCUGGUCCACUUGGCAAAUUAAUUAUG
Molecule: long non-coding RNA, 961 nt
Organism: Corvus hawaiiensis (hawaiian crow)
Lineage: Eukaryota; Metazoa; Chordata; Aves; Passeriformes; Corvidae
Exons: 3
Source: RefSeq, a predicted model, not a curated record